CUCUCUCCGGCUCUGCCAUGGUAAGAUGUGACUGCUUCCCCUUCACCGUCUGCCAUAAUUAGAUGGGGUCUUGCAUAUUUCCCAGGCUGGCCACAAAUUCCUGGCAUCAAGUGAUCGUCUCGCCUCAGCCUUCCAAAUAGCUGGGAUUACAGGUAUAUACACCUAGCAGUGGAAUUACUGGAUGAUAUGGUAUGUCUGUUUUUAGGUUUUUUUUUUUUGGUGGAGGGGAAGCUUCAUAUUGUUCUCCAUAAUGGCUAUACUAAUUUACAUUUCCACCAGUUGUGUCCAAGUGUUCCUCUCUCUCCACAUGCUCUCCAGCAUCUGUUUUUGCCUAUCUUUUUGAUAUAAGCCAUUUUGACUGGGGUCAGAUGAUAUCUUACUGUGGUUUUGAUUUGCGUUUCUCUAAUAAUUAGCGAUGCUCAACUUUUUUUUGUAUAGCUGUUGGCCACUUAUAUGUCUUCUUUUGAGAAAUGUAUGUUAAGGUUUUAGCCCAUUUUUAAAUCAGAUGAUGAUGAUGAUGAUUAUUUUGCUAUUGAAUUGUUUGCGCUCCCUCUAUAUUCUGGUUAUUAAUCUCUUGUCAGAUAUAUAGUUUGAAACUAUUUUCUCCCAUUCUGUGUGUUGCCUCUUUACUUUGUUCAUUGUUUAUUUUGCUGUGCAAAAAUUUACUACAAAACUAUAGUAACCAAAACUACACUACUGGCAUAAAAACAAACUAAUAGAUUAGUGGAAGAUAAUAGAGAACCCUGAUAUAAAUUCAUGCAUUUACAACCAAUUCAUCUUGGCAAAGCUGUCAAGAACAUACAAUGGGGGAAAGGACAGUCUUUUCAAUAAACAGUUCUGGGAAAACGGGUUAACUACAUGCAGAAGAGUAAAAGACCCCUAUCUCUCAUCUACACAAAAAUUUAAUCAAAAUGGGUUAAAGACUUAAAUCUAAGACCUAAAAUGAUGAAACUACGGAAGGAAACAUUGGGAAAAUGUUCCAGGACAUUGGCCUGGGCAAAGUUUUUUGGGUAAAACCUCAAAAACAGGCAAUCAAAACAAAAAUAGACAAUUGAGAUUACAUUAUCAUUUGGUAUAUGCACGCAUUGUGGAAUAGAUAAACCAAACUAACACAUGUGUUACAUCACAUACCAAUUUUUUUUAUAGUGAGAAAACUUAAAGUCUACCCUCUUAGCAAUUUUCAAGCAUAUAAUAGAUUAACUAUACCUACUAUAAUGUAUGCUAGAUCUCUUGAACUUAUUUCUCCUGUUCAGUUGAAAUUUUGCAUCCUUUGACUAACAUUUCCCCAAUACCCCUUCCCCUGGCCUCUAGUAACCACCAUUUUACUCUGUUUCUGUGAAUUUGACUUUUUAGAUUCCAAAUGUAAGUGAGAUAAUGCAGUAUUUUUCUUCCUGUGUCUGGCUUAUUUCACUUACCCUAAUGUCCAUCAGUUUUACCCAUGUUGUGGCAAAUGUUAGAAUCUCUUUUUUAAGGUCAAAUAAUAUUUUACUUACACACACAUGCACGCACACACACAUAUAGUUUCAUUCAUUUAUCUGUCAACACACACUUAGGCUGUUUCCCUAUCUCAGUUGUUGUGAUUUGCCGCAAAGGACAUGAUAGUGCAGAUAUAUUUACAACAUGGGGAUUCCAUUUUCUUUGUAUAUAUAUCUAGAAGUGAGAUUAUUGAGUCAUAUGAUAGUUCUAUAUUUCUUUAGAAACCUCCAUAAUGUUUUCUAUAAAACCCGCAUCAAUCUGUGUUCCCACCAGCAGUAUACAAGUGUUCCCUUUUCUCUACAGCCUUGCCAACAUUUGUUAUCUCUUGUCUUUUUGAUAAUAGCCAUCCUAAUAGGUAUGAAGUGAUACAUCAUUGUGGUUUUAAUUUGCAUUUAUCUGAUUAAUGAUGCUGAGCAAUUUUUCGCAUGCAAUUUUGCUGUUUUUAUGUUUUAUUUGAAGAAAUAUAUACUUAGGUCCUUCCUCUUUAAAAAAAAAUGGGUGAAUUUUCUGCAAUUGUGUUGUGUGAGUUACCCAUAUAUUUUGAGUAUUUUUUCUCUUAUCAGAUAAAUGGUUUGCAAUAUUUUCUCCCAAUCAGGCUGCGUUUUCUUUUUGUUAAUUGUUUCCUUUACUGUGAGGAAGACUUUUAGUUUGACAUAGCCCCACUUACUUGUUUUUGCCUUUGUAGCCUGAGCCUGAGCUUUUGGAGUGAUAUCCAAAUACCACAGGCAACCAACGUCAGGAAGCUUUUCCCCUGUGUUUUCUUCUAGGAGUUUUAUGAUUUUAGGUCUUAUUGUUUGGUCUUUUAUCCAUUUUGAGUUGACUUUUGUGCAUGAUGUAAUGAUCCAGUUUUAUUCUUUUCCGUGUGGAAAUCUAGUUUUCCCAGCAUCAUUUAUUCAACAGACUAUCCUUUCACCACCAUGUCUUCUUGGUGCCCUUGUCAACAUUCUGUUGACCCUGUAUGUUUGGAUUUAUUUCUGGGCUGUAGUAAGGUUUGAAAUUAAAAGGUGUGAGUCUUCUUACUUGGUUUUUCAUUAUCAAAAUUAUUUUGUCUAUUUGAGAUCCCUUGCAAUUCCAAUAUGUUGGAAAAGACUUUUCCAUUUCUGACCCAAAUGGUCAUUGGGAUUUUGAGAGGAAUUCUAUUAAACCUAUAUGUUGCUUUGGGUAAUAUUGCCAUUGUAGCAAUUUUAAGUCUUACAACCUGUGGACUUUCGAUUUCUUUCCAUUUAUUUAGGUUUUUAAAAAUUUAUCUCAGCAAUGUUUUACAGUUUUUGUUGUACAGGUUUUGCACCUCCUUGGUUACAUCUAUUCCCC
This 2787-nucleotide long non-coding RNA is filed under the name Homo sapiens (human). RNAcentral's name for it is "HSALNT0381109". The record is from RNAcentral. Lineage: Eukaryota; Metazoa; Chordata; Mammalia; Primates; Hominidae.